Molecule: transfer RNA, 68 nt
Filed under: Trachylepis maculilabris
Lineage: Eukaryota; Metazoa; Chordata; Lepidosauria; Squamata; Scincidae
Description: tRNA-Ala
Rfam family: tRNA
About the family: Transfer RNA (tRNA) molecules are approximately 80 nucleotides in length. Their secondary structure includes four short double-helical elements and three loops (D, anti-codon, and T loops). Further hydrogen bonds mediate the characteristic L-shaped molecular structure. tRNAs have two regions of fundamental functional importance: the anti-codon, which is responsible for specific mRNA codon recognition, and the 3' end, to which the tRNAs corresponding amino acid is attached (by aminoacyl-tRNA synthetases). tRNAs cope with the degeneracy of the genetic code in two manners: having more than one tRNA (with a specific anti-codon) for a particular amino acid; and 'wobble' base-pairing, i.e. permitting non-standard base-pairing at the 3rd anti-codon position.
Source: RNAcentral
GAGGUUUUAGCUUAAUGAAAGUGCUUGAGUUGCAUUCAGGAGAUGUAUAUUCGAGUUUUACAGACCUU